CUUGAACGCGCACCCAGGAGUCUCCCCGAGUCUAAGUGCACCAGUCUGGGGACGUCCUGGUCCCAUUGUACAGAAGGCUCCAUCCCUGUGAUGAGAAAAUACAAACGGCAUGGCCUUUUCAGGCUGGUAGCUUCCUCUCAAACCCUGCUCUUUCCUGGGCUCGGCUGCAGGAAGGACAGUGGCUCUACCACACACAUGUUCGGACAAGCCCACUGAGUACAAAACUCCAGGCAUCUGGACUUGGCAAGGCCGCUGACACUGAAGAGAAUGUAACAUGCAAGACCAAGGCUGCCCCCAGCCCCACCCCUGCAUCUCCGGGGCCUCAUGUUCCUCACCUGUAAAUGAAGGGGGUGUAAGGAGGAAAACUGGACAACGAUCCCUGAGGCCCCGUCCAGCACAACAUUCUGACUGUAAGCAGAGAAGAUGCAAAUACAGUUUAAUCAAAUCUUGCUGGUCAUAACCACUUGCCCACGGUAGCUUUAAACUGAUUUUGCCAAUUUUACUACUUUUAUCACUUGACAGUAUAACAAAGAUAGGAACAUUGGAUUAAUACAACACUUUUUAGAAGUUUCAGAGGCUAGCAAAUUUUCAGCUUGGCUAAUUUGUAUGGCAACACUAUCCCAAAUGAAGGCAUGCAGACGAGAGGCUGGAAACACAGCAAACCCAGCGCCCUCAUCAAAUGUUCGCACUGUGCCAGAUCCUGGCUAAGUAUUUAUAGUGUUUUAUAUCAUGCCCUACAAUCCCAUGACAUAGAUCUGAUUACUCCCUAAAUUUUACUUGUGUAAAAAAGAUCUGUUAGAAAAACAAGAUUUGUGGUGUGAAGAGCAAAAGUUGUUUUCCACUGCGGUGUGUGCCUAAGGGCAAGCCACCCAGCUGCUCUGUCUCAAUGCCUCCACCUAUGCAACAGGAAAAUAGCCCCUGUCUCGUUCACUCACUCAACAACCAGUGACUGAGCACUCCCAGAUGUGCCAGGCACUGUGGGAGGUGCUUGGGAUCUUGGUGAACAAAACGGAUUAAAAGGACAAAAAGCCAUCAUGGCGUUGCUUAUACCUCGAACAAGGAAAGCAGAUAAUUCGUGCUGAGAACGCAGGGGGUGCUUGAUCAACCUUAGCGCCCUCUCUUCCCCCUUCAGAAAUGGAAAAAGCAUUAGAAAACAAAUCCAACAGAAGCCAGUUAAGUCAGACCCGAAACAGAAAUUUUUACCUAAUAAACAAAUACCAAAGAGCAAAGAUUAAGAGCAUUUGUGCUGGUGUCCUCUGGCCUAGGCUCAAAUUCUGACUCUGUCACUUCUUGCUGGAGUGACCCCAGGCAAGUUAUUUAAACUCCACUAAGCGUCAACUUCC
RNAcentral lists this long non-coding RNA (1343 nucleotides) under Equus asinus (donkey). RNAcentral describes it as "lncRNA (ENSEASG00005026083.1)". The record is from RNAcentral. Lineage: Eukaryota; Metazoa; Chordata; Mammalia; Perissodactyla; Equidae.